UCCCCGUUGCCGAGGCAGUCUGGUUAGAAAAAUACAACUAACCACGAGGGUUGCGCUCGUUGAAGGACUUAACCUAACAUCUCACGACACGAGCUGACGACGGCCAUGCAUCACCUGUCACUGGUCCAACUAAAUGACCAUCUAAUUUCUUAGACGUGCGACCAGGAUGUCAAGCCUUGGUAAGGUUCUUCGCGUAGCCUCGAAUUAAACCACACGCUCCACCGCUUGUGCGGGUCCCCGUCAAUUCCUUUGAGUUUUAGCCUUGCGGCCGUACUCCCCAGGCGGGAUACUUAACGCGUUAGCUUCGCUACCGAGCGGGUCGAUACGCCCAACAGCUAGUAUCCAUCGUUUACGGCGUGGACUAC
RNAcentral lists this unclassified non-coding RNA (365 nucleotides) under uncultured bacterium. RNAcentral describes it as "contains 16S-23S intergenic spacer region". The record is from RNAcentral.